AUGGAUUUACAACUCAUGAAUUACAACUCAAAACUAGAACAAGAUAUGAAUCUAUAUGAAUGCCUCCGGCGGUGUACCGGGAUGGGCAAUGAAUCAAGAGUGACAUGUAUGAAAAAUUAUGCAAAGUGUCCUUGCCACAAAUACGAUGUCAACUACAUGAUCAUGCAAUGGCAAUAUGACAAAAGUAAUGCAUGUCAUGAUGAUAAACGGAACGGUGGAAAGUUGCAUGGCAAUAUAUCUCGGAAUGGCUACGGAAAUGCCAUAAUAGGUAGGUAUGGUGGCUGUUUUGAGGAAGAUAUAAGGAGGUUUAUGUGUCAUAGAGCGUAUCAUAUCACGGGGUUUGGAUGCACCGGCGAAGUUUGCACCAACUCUCAAGGUGAGAGAGGGCAAUGCACGGUACCGAAGAGGCUAGCAAUGAUGGAAAGGUAA
This 429-nucleotide ribosomal RNA is filed under the name Triticum aestivum (bread wheat). RNAcentral's name for it is "partial small subunit ribosomal RNA". The record is from RNAcentral. Lineage: Eukaryota; Viridiplantae; Streptophyta; Magnoliopsida; Poales; Poaceae.